This 75-nucleotide transfer RNA is filed under the name Rhodospirillaceae bacterium. RNAcentral's name for it is "tRNA-Asn". It matches the Rfam family "tRNA". From Rfam's summary of the family: Transfer RNA (tRNA) molecules are approximately 80 nucleotides in length. Their secondary structure includes four short double-helical elements and three loops (D, anti-codon, and T loops). Lineage: Bacteria; Pseudomonadati; Pseudomonadota; Alphaproteobacteria; Rhodospirillales; Rhodospirillaceae. RNAcentral also lists the same sequence under 5 other names. The record is from RNAcentral.
UCCCCGGUAGCUCAGCGGUAGAGCAGACGACUGUUAAUCGUCUGGCCGGCGGUUCGAAUCCGUCCCGGGGAGCCA